Molecule: small nucleolar RNA, 108 nt
Organism: Arachis stenosperma
Lineage: Eukaryota; Viridiplantae; Streptophyta; Magnoliopsida; Fabales; Fabaceae
Source: RefSeq, a predicted model, not a curated record
AAACAUGUCGGGAGGGCACUUUCUGAGAAUAACCUUGUAUCUCUCCCAAGCUUCAUAGAGAAAUUCACCCUCUUAUUGCCUAAAUUUCUAAACAUCAGUUCUUAGCUU